RNAcentral lists this microRNA precursor (80 nucleotides) under Octodon degus (degu). Its description in RNAcentral is "miRNA (ENSODEG00000021884.1)". The record is from RNAcentral. Lineage: Eukaryota; Metazoa; Chordata; Mammalia; Rodentia; Octodontidae.
GAGCAGGUACAGACUCUCCUAGGGAAGAUGGCAGCCUCCAAACAGCCGGGAGUGCCUGCUUACCCAUCUCCUCACCGCCU